CAACCGCGGUCCCAGGGACCAGGGAGUACUCUCGGGCUGCGCUCUGGGCGUCACCCCGCGCGGCUGCGGACAACUGAAUAAACACCACGAAGCGCUGCGAUCUGUCAAGGGCUGGGAUCGCCU
Myotis lucifugus (little brown bat) is the source of this 123-nucleotide non-coding RNA. The record is from Rfam. NCBI's taxonomy places the organism in Eukaryota, Metazoa, Chordata, Mammalia, Chiroptera, Vespertilionidae.